GUCGUCCAUGGGGCAGCAGUGCAAGCUGGGUUGGCCUGGGACUGGGCCCCCACGUAUGGUGGUGGUCGUUGAGGUUUCCGGGUAGGUGGUGGGCCGCACUUCGGGCAGGGAGUGGACACAGUGGCGGCUCGAGAGGACAAAGAAAGUCAUACAGGUAUGGAACGACAUAAGGGCAGGUGUUUGUUCUCACUUGGUCAUCCAGUCCCAUGAGGCUGUGUCUGUGGUCGUUGGUGAGAGAGGGCUGCGAUGAGUCUGCACUGAUUGGGUAUCCUGGGUAUCCAUUAGGAAAACCCUGCAUCGGGAAUGCAGGGGCUACACAAACAGAACAAAGCACAGUACACAUAAGCAGUGUGUAGAUAUUCCAGCUCACUAUUGGGUGUCUGUGGAGUUCGAGGCAUGUCCAUUUCUGGUGCGUGCCCGGGUCGGGUCAUGAUCAUGGGCUCUUC
This is a long non-coding RNA of Megalobrama amblycephala (Wuchang bream), 446 nucleotides long. RefSeq lists it as uncharacterized. The transcript is spliced from 4 exons. The record is from RefSeq and is a predicted model, not a curated record. NCBI's taxonomy places the organism in Eukaryota, Metazoa, Chordata, Actinopteri, Cypriniformes, Xenocyprididae.